UGGGUGCUGCAUUGGGUUUGCGAGUGACAUUUUUGGACGGUACGGGCACAGCACUCGGGAGCCGGCCUUCCCUAAGGGGUUCCCUGAGAGAUGGUCUGGGAGGUGGGAACUGUGGCGGGUUAUUGUCAAUGGGAGAUACAUCGGGGCUUUCACGAUGGCCGGUGGGAGCAAAAACAGGAGAAUCUGGAGGCGAUAUAUCGGUGUAUUGGCUGUCACGGAACUCCGACUGAUAGGGCCUGGGGUUCCUUCUCGAUGGAUGCACGUCAUGGUCGGCUAACGCCAUGUUGCCUGCAGCGUAGGAAUCC
RNAcentral lists this small RNA (305 nucleotides) under Histoplasma capsulatum var. duboisii H88. RNAcentral's name for it is "Histoplasma capsulatum H88 hypothetical RNA". Lineage: Eukaryota; Fungi; Ascomycota; Eurotiomycetes; Onygenales; Ajellomycetaceae. The record is from RNAcentral.